CGUAGGGCGGAGCGUUGUCCGGAAUUAUUGGGCGUAAAGCGCGCGCAGGCGGCUCUUUAAGUCAGGUGUGAAAGGCUGCGGCUCAACCGCAGAGCGGCACCUGAAACUGGAGAGCUUGAGUGCAGGAGAGGGAGUGGAAUUCCCGGUGUAGCGGUGGAAUGCGUAGAGAUCGGGAGGAACACCAGUGGCGAAGGCGACUCUCUGGCCUGUAACUGACGCUGAGGCGCGAAAGCGUGGGAGCAAACAGGAUU
RNAcentral lists this ribosomal RNA (251 nucleotides) under uncultured bacterium. Its description in RNAcentral is "partial 16S ribosomal RNA". It matches the Rfam family "Bacterial small subunit ribosomal RNA", at positions 526 to 779 of the family's 1533-position model. The record is from RNAcentral.